GGCUCAGGACGAACGCUGGCGGCGUGCCUAACACAUGCAAGUCGAGCGAUGAAGCCCUCGGGGUGGAUUAGCGGCGGACGGGUGAGUAACACGUGGGUAACCUGCCUCAAAGAGGGGGAUAGCCUCCCGAAAGGGAGAUUAAUACCGCAUAAUAUUAGUUUUUUCGCAUGAAGAACUAAUUAAAGGAGUAAUCCGCUUUGAGAUGGACCCGCGGCGCAUUAGCUAGUUGGUGAGGUAAAGGCUCACCAAGGCGACGAUGCGUAGCCGACCUGAGAGGGUGAUCGGCCACAUUGGAACUGAGACACGGUCCAGACUCCUACGGGAGGCAGCAGUGGGGAAUAUUGCACAAUGGGCGAAAGCCUGAUGCCAGCAACGCCGCGUGAGUGAUGAAGGCCUUCGGGUUGUAAAGCUCUGUCUUUUGGGACGAUAAUGACGGUACCAAAGGAGGAAGCCACGGCUAACUACGUGCCAGCAGCUGC
Molecule: ribosomal RNA, 479 nt
Filed under: uncultured bacterium
Lineage: Bacteria
Description: bacterial SSU rRNA
Rfam family: Bacterial small subunit ribosomal RNA
Source: RNAcentral